This 253-nucleotide ribosomal RNA is filed under the name uncultured bacterium. Its description in RNAcentral is "partial 16S ribosomal RNA". It matches the Rfam family "Bacterial small subunit ribosomal RNA", at positions 524 to 776 of the family's 1533-position model. The record is from RNAcentral.
UACGUAGGGGGCGAGCGUUGUCCGGAAUUAUUGGGCGUAAAGAGCGUGUAGGCGGUUCGGUAAGUCUGCCGUGAAAACCUGGGGCUCAACCCCGGGCGUGCGGUGGAUACUGCCGGGCUAGAGGGUGGUAGAGGCGAGUGGAAUUCCCGGUGUAGCGGUGAAAUGCGCAGAUAUCGGGAGGAACACCAGUAGCGAAGGCGGCUCGCUGGGCCAUUCCUGACGCUGAGGAGCGAAAGCGUGGGGAGCGAACAGG